UUCACUUAAAAUCCCCUUAUCUCUCUUAACCUUCCAAGUGAAAAACUAUAUUUUCAAAGGAUUCAAGGCCUCAAUAUCCAUUGCUUUUUUUUCUUUGAUUAUCAAGGUCGUGGGAAUUCACCAAUGUAUUUCUUUCAUCCAUUGGGACCCAAAAGAACACCAAUCUCCAAUUCAAUUAGGGUUUUAUCGGCAGAUUGAGCAGAUGAAACAAUUUUUCCAGUAAUUGUUUUUUGCUUAUAGACACGUCCUCCUAGAGCCAUGACGUUUUGAAUAUCCCUGCAAAAUAUUUUUGCAUAUGCACAACAAAUGGCUGUUAUGAGAAGUGUCUACAACAUGAAAGAUAUGAGAAAUUUCUACGACAUUAAUAAUACCAAUGUUCUGGUCAAUCAAAGUUUUUACGAGGAUCCUACUUUAUAUAUACGGUGUAAUAUUUCACUGAGGAGAUUCGGGUAAACCACCUGGAACCCAUGUGGGUCCGCCGGUGCUGCUGGUGAACUUUUUCACUACUUAUAGAUCUGCACAGGAGCGUAGUCACAUAUUAUUUUUAUACUUAAACUUUAAAAAUAACGAUAAGUAGUUAAAUUAUUCAACUACAAAAUUUAUAUUUUCACUAUUUAAAUAUUGUAUAUUUUCUGACAAAAUUAUGUUGUCACUAAA
Molecule: long non-coding RNA, 657 nt
Organism: Solanum lycopersicum (tomato)
Lineage: Eukaryota; Viridiplantae; Streptophyta; Magnoliopsida; Solanales; Solanaceae
Source: RefSeq, a predicted model, not a curated record